UACCUGGUUGAUCCUGCCAGUAGUCAUAUGCUUGUCUCAAAGACUAAGCCAUGCAUGUCUAAGUAUAAGUAUUAUACAGCGAAACUGCGAAUGGCUCAUUAAAACAGUUAUAGUUUAUUUGAUAAUCGAAUUUACAUGGAUAACCGUGGUAAUUCUAGAGCUAAUACAUGCUGGUAUGCUCGACUUUUGUGGAAGGGCGGUAUUUAUUAGAUAACAAAUCAAUAUUCCUCUGGUCUAUUGUGGUGACUCAUAGUAACUGAUCGAAUCGCAAGGCCUAUGGCCGCGAUAAGUCAUUCAAGUUUCUGCCCCAUCAGCUUUCGAUGGUAGUGUAUUGGACUACCAUGGCGUUUACGGGUAACGGAGGAUUAGGGUUCGAUUCCGGAGAGGGAGCCUGAGAAACGGCUACCACAUCUAAGGAUGGCAGCAGGCGCGUAAAUUACCCAAUCCUGAUUCAGGGAGGUAGUGACAAGAAAUAACGGACUGGGUCUUCGGACUUCGGGAUUGCAAUGAGCCGAAUUUACACCCCUUAGCGAGAAUCGAUUGGAGGGCAAGUCUGGUGCCAGCAGCCGCGGUAAUUCCAGCUCCAAUAGC
This 591-nucleotide ribosomal RNA is filed under the name uncultured marine eukaryote. RNAcentral describes it as "SSU rRNA". It matches the Rfam family "Eukaryotic small subunit ribosomal RNA", at positions 1 to 598 of the family's 1831-position model. The record is from RNAcentral.